RNAcentral lists this ribosomal RNA (219 nucleotides) under uncultured bacterium. RNAcentral's name for it is "partial 16S ribosomal RNA". It matches the Rfam family "Bacterial small subunit ribosomal RNA", at positions 57 to 305 of the family's 1533-position model. The record is from RNAcentral.
GCAAGUCGAACGGGCUCUUCGGAGCAAGUGGCGGACGGGUGAGUAACGCGUGAGAAUCUGCCCUAAGGUGGGGGACAACAAUUGGAAACGAUUGCUAAUACCCCAUAUGCCGAGAGGUGAAAGGUUAAUUGCCUUAGGAUGAGCUCGCGUCUGAUUAGCUAGAUGGUGGGGUAACGGCUUACCAUGGCGACGAUCAGUAGCUGGUCUGAGAGGAUGAUC